UCGUUAAUAUUUUUUCUUAUCAUUCAUUCUCAUAUAUUAUUAUCCACAUUCAAGUGAUACCCAUCAAAGGUUGUUUGUCACCAAACAUCGUGCUUGCUGAUCUAACAGGUUAUUUAGGCAUAUGUACUAUUUUAUCCUCUCGCCACCAGUAAGAGUGGAGAGCUUGGCUCUCAGCGGUAUGCCCAGCAUUCCUGCCGAGUACGUCCGAUCGGACACCCU
Molecule: long non-coding RNA, 219 nt
Filed under: Spirodela polyrhiza (greater duckweed)
Lineage: Eukaryota; Viridiplantae; Streptophyta; Magnoliopsida; Alismatales; Araceae
Description: long non-coding RNA (SPOL_LNC001373)
Source: RNAcentral